GAUGAAGAACGCAGCGAAAUGCGAUAAGUAGUGUGAAUUGCAGAAUUCAGUGAAUCAUCGAAUCUUUGAACGCACAUUGCGCCCCUUGGUAUUCCAUGGGGCAUGCCUGUUCGAGCGUCAUCUACACCCUCAAGCUCUGCUUGGUGUUGGGCGUCUGUCCCGCCUUUGCGCGUGGACUCGCCCCAAAUUCAUUGGCAGCGGUCCUUGCCUCCUCUCGCGCAGCACAUUUGCGCUUCUCGAGGUGCGCGGGCCGCGUCCACGAGGCAACUAUUACCGUCUUUGACCUCGGAUCAGGUAGGGAUACCCGCUGAACUUAAGCAUAUCAAUAAGCGGAGGA
RNAcentral lists this unclassified non-coding RNA (337 nucleotides) under soil metagenome. RNAcentral's name for it is "partial contains 5.8S ribosomal RNA, internal transcribed spacer 2, and large subunit ribosomal RNA". The stretch from base 1 to 120 matches the Rfam family "5.8S ribosomal RNA", at positions 35 to 154 of the family's 154-position model. The record is from RNAcentral.